UGGGGAAUAUUGCACAAUGGGCGAAAGCCUGAUGCAGCGACGCCGCGUGAGUGAAGAAGUAUUUCGGUAUGUAAAGCCCUAUCAGCAGGGAAGAAAAUGACGGUACCUGACUAAGAAGCCCCGGCUAACUACGUGCCAGCAGCCGCGGUAAUACGUAGGGGGCAAGCGUUAUCCGGAUUUACUGGUUGUAAAGGGAGCGUAGACGGCGAAGCAAGUCUGAAGUGAAAACCCAGGGCUCAACCCUGGGACUGCUUUGGAAACUGUUUUGCUAGAGGGUCGGAGAGGUGAGUGGAAUUCCUAGUGUAGCGGUGACCUGCGUAGAUAUUAGGAUGAACACCAGUGGCGGAGGCGGCUUACUGGACGAUAACAAACGUUAAGUCUCGAAAGCGUGGGGAGCGAACAGG
Molecule: ribosomal RNA, 404 nt
Filed under: Fusobacteriota bacterium
Lineage: Bacteria; Fusobacteriati; Fusobacteriota
Description: Fusobacteria bacterium partial 16S ribosomal RNA
Rfam family: Bacterial small subunit ribosomal RNA
Source: RNAcentral